RNAcentral lists this ribosomal RNA (257 nucleotides) under uncultured Polymorphum sp. RNAcentral's name for it is "partial 16S ribosomal RNA". It matches the Rfam family "Bacterial small subunit ribosomal RNA", at positions 546 to 804 of the family's 1533-position model. Lineage: Bacteria; Pseudomonadati; Pseudomonadota; Alphaproteobacteria; Rhodobacterales; Paracoccaceae. The record is from RNAcentral.
CGGAAUCACUGGGCGUAAAGCGCACGUAGGCGGACUUUUAAGUCAGGGGUGAAAUCCCGGGGCUCAACCUCGGAACUGCCUUUGAUACUGGAAGUCUGGAGUCCGAGAGAGGUGAGUGGAACUCCGAGUGUAGAGGUGAAAUUCGUAGAUAUUCGGAAGAACACCAGUGGCGAAGGCGGCUCACUGGCUCGGUACUGACGCUGAGGUGCGAAAGCGUGGGGAGCAAACAGGAUUAGAUACCCCUGUAGUCGUCAGUA